AAAAUUAUUGAUUUAUGGACUAGUCUGAAGGCUUUUUUAGUGUUUUUUUGAAAAAAUCACUAAAAUCCGUUCAUAAAAAGUCAAGAUAAUCAGAAUUAUUGCAGUUUUUUAUACUCCUGGACUUAUUUGGACACAUUUUUAAGCAUUCUGGACUUUGAGGAACUGCUGGACUUCUUUAGAACGGAAUUCCACUCAAUUCGACCCUUCAAGGUCCUCCUUGGAGCUCUUAGAAGAUUGAGAAGUUUUGUUACAGUGUUUCAGGGACUCCUGAACUUAUUUGGAGACGUUUUUAAUCAUUUUGGACUUUGAGGAACUGCUGGACUUCUUUAGAACGAAGUUCCACUCAAUUCGAAUCUUCAAGUUCCUUCUUGGAGCUCUUAGAAGAUUGAGAAGUCCUGUCACAGUGUUUCAGGGAUUCCUGGACUUAUUUUGAGACGUUUUUAAGCAUCCUGGACUUUGAGGAACUUCUGGACUUCUUUAGAAGGAAAUUCCACUUAAUUCGACCCUUAAAGCUCCUUCUUGGAGCUCUUAGAAGAUUGAGAAGUCCUGUCACAGUGUUUCAGGGACUCCUGGACUUGUUUUUAAGCAUUCUGGACUUUGAGGAACUCCUGGACUUCUAUCUGGACUAAUUUGAUCCUUCAAGUUCCUUGUUAGACUCCUUAGAAGCUCUCUUAGUCUUCUGAACGUUGUUUCGUCCUCCCUACGUGCUCCUAUUAUUUUUCUAUUUAACCUCAUCAAUUUGAUUUUUGCUAUAUUUGAUUCUUCUUCUCUUUUCAAUACACAGAAGUUGAAUACAAGGUUGAAUUUCAUACUACAAACAACCAGUAGAACAUUCUUUGUCUAUCCAGGGUUUUAUUGCAGGUAAGAGUUACUACAUGCUGGAUGUAAUUAAUUAAUUAAUAUCUUGGUGUAUUAUAUUAAUAACAUUAACAACUUUAUAUUAUUAUAUUUAAUUUCGUGCAAUUAAAUUAAACAAUAUUACGGGAAAAUUUAAUUACUGCCCAAGAUGGUGUGCAUUAAACUAAUUAAUGAAUAACUCCCGCUGUAUUUUCAGCUAUUUAGAGGUCCUAGUCAAUUUAUUGUUACGUUUUAUUGUCACAUCAUUAGCUGAACAACAACCUGGUCGCGACGAUUUAUUUUUAGCAUGUGUAAGGAUCAAAAUAAAAUUGUGAAAUGAUACCGUUGUUAGUUGAUACAUAGAUACGAUAAUAAAUCGGUGUAAAGCGAGUUAUAUUAAAUAUACAAUUUUUUUUUCUGUUUUUAUUAUAAUUCAUUCUUGUAAGGCAACGUUGUCCGUUUAGUUGUUUAAAUUUUAGAACCAAAGUCAAAUAUAUAAUUCCUGAUUAAAACGGU
Long non-coding RNA from Anthonomus grandis grandis, 1353 nucleotides. RefSeq lists it as uncharacterized. The record is from RefSeq and is a predicted model, not a curated record. The transcript is spliced from 2 exons. Lineage: Eukaryota; Metazoa; Arthropoda; Insecta; Coleoptera; Curculionidae.